UAAUAUAUUAUAUUAUAUUAUUAUAUUAUUAUUAUAUAUAUAUGACAAAGAAAGAAAGAAAAGAAACAGAGAGCAAAACAAAACAGAGAAGGGAGAAAGAAAGAAACAGAGAGCAAAACGAAACAGAGAAGGAAGGAAGGAAAGAAAGAAAGAAAAGAAAAGAAAAAGGGAAAUUUGGGGUUUUAAGGUUCAAAGUAAUUUGGUAAGUCAAUUUAAUCCCAUUUUCUCUUAGUUUUGAUAUUUUUUUUGAAAUCCUAGAACAAAAUACUACUUGAUUAAGUUGAAAUUUUGGAAGUUAGUAGAUUAUUAAGCAUGGUUCAUGUUGAAUAAAUUGUUAAAUUAGGGAUGUAUUUGAUAGAAAUUUUGAUUGGAAUUGAAUAAAGGAUUGAAUUGUAAACUAAACUAUAAGUUUUGAAUUUUAGGGAUUAAUUUGAAAUAAAUUCGGAAUUAUGAAAACAUGAUAAAAAUUAAAUAGUUAAAUAUGAGUUUAGCAAGAAAUUGGGUAGAAUAAGGGUAUGAAUUGAGAAAGAAAAAUAUAUAGGUUUAGUUAGGGGUUAAAUUGAUUUAAUUUCAAGUUAGAAGUUAGUAAAGAACGUAAUUGUAAAAUAAAAUAUAAGUUUUGAAUCGAUAGGGAUUAAAUUGAAAGAAUCCCGAAAUUAGGGAUUUAUGGUGAAAUUGAGGAAUUAAAUUGACUUUAUAGUAAGAAUUAAGAGAGAAUAUAGAGUUAGAAUGCAAAAAUAAAAUUAGUAUUGAUAAGGGAUUAAAUUAGAAUUUGAUGUUGCCAUAGAAGGGAAAAAUGUUCAGAAUGUUAUAAAACAUAAGAAUAAGAGAUGAAGUUUAAUUUCCGAGCCUUGGGGCAAAAAUGUAAUUAUGUAAAAGUUUAGGGGCAAAAUUGUAAUUUUGAAAAAGUUAGAGUCGAGGGCUAUUUUGAUGAAUGUGAUUAUUAAAUAAGUUAAAUUUACUAUUUUAGAUCAAGAAGUACGAAACUCGAGGUUAGACAAAGGGAAGAAUAAAGUUGAAGACUAAGUUGGUGAAUUUGGCUAUAAUUGGUACCGAGGUAAGUUUACGGUAAAUAAAUGCAAUAUUUCAAUAUUUAUUAUUAAUUCUGUUAAUUUCCAGCAAUUAUGAAUUUAUUUUAUGAAUUUAUUUGAUGAUGAUCCAAGCAUAAAAUGAUAAAGAAUUAAAAUUUAAAAGUCCCGUUGAUACAUAAGGAUGGUACUGGAUACGAAUGUCAUGACAUUUGGGUAAAGAGAUCCCAUGUAAGACCAUGUCUGGGACAUGGCAUUGGCAUCCUUAAGAUCAUGAGAGGUCCCCUGUAAGACC
RNAcentral lists this long non-coding RNA (1323 nucleotides) under Gossypium barbadense (sea-island cotton). RNAcentral's name for it is "long non-coding RNA (GBAR_LNC005847)". The record is from RNAcentral. Lineage: Eukaryota; Viridiplantae; Streptophyta; Magnoliopsida; Malvales; Malvaceae.